Molecule: ribosomal RNA, 464 nt
Filed under: uncultured bacterium
Lineage: Bacteria
Description: partial 16S ribosomal RNA
Rfam family: Bacterial small subunit ribosomal RNA
Source: RNAcentral
GACGAACGCUGGCGGCGUGCUUAACACAUGCAAGUCGAACGGAAAGGCCCCUUCGGGGGUACUCGAGUGGCGAACAGGUGAGUAACACGUGAGUAACCUGCCCUUGACUUCGGGAUAACUUCAGGAAACUGGGGCUAAUACCGGAUAGGAAUCCUUGCUGCAUGGUGGGGGUUGGAAAGCUUCGGCGGUUUUGGAUGGACUCGCGGCUAUCAGCUUGUUGGUGGGGUAGUGGCUUACCAAGGCUUUGACGGGUAGCCGGCCUGAGAGGGCGACCGGCCACAUUGGGACUGAGAUACGGCCCAGACUCCUACGGGAGGCAGCAGUGGGGAAUAUUGCACAAUGGGCGGAAGCCUGAUGCAGCAACGCCGCGUGCGGGAUGACGGCCUUCGGGUUGUAAACCGCUUUCAGCAGGGGCGAAGCUUGUGGUGACGGUACCUGCAGAAGAAGCACCGGCUAACUACGUG